Molecule: transfer RNA, 82 nt
Filed under: Bacteroides thetaiotaomicron
Lineage: Bacteria; Pseudomonadati; Bacteroidota; Bacteroidia; Bacteroidales; Bacteroidaceae
Also listed under: 1 other name
Description: tRNA-His
Rfam family: tRNA (bases 11-77)
About the family: Transfer RNA (tRNA) molecules are approximately 80 nucleotides in length. Their secondary structure includes four short double-helical elements and three loops (D, anti-codon, and T loops).
Source: RNAcentral
GUGGAAACAAGGAAGUUCAGUUGGUUAGAGCGUCAGAUUGUGGUUCUGAAUGUCGCCGGUUCGAGUCCGGUCUUCCACCCCA